GCAACCCUGGUGGCGAGUGGCGAACGGGUGAGUAAUACAUCGGAACGUGUCCUGUAGUGGGGGAUAGCCCGGCGAAAGCCGGAUUAAUACCGCAUACGCUCUACGGAGGAAAGGGGGGGAUCUUAGGACCUCCCGCUACAGGGGCGGCCGAUGGCAGAUUAGCUAGUUGGUGGGGUAAAGGCCUACCAAGGCGACGAUCUGUAGCUGGUCUGAGAGGACGACCAGCCACACUGGGACUGAGACACGGCCCAGACUCCUACGGGAGGCAGCAGUGGGGAAUUUUGGACAAUGGGCGAAAGCCUGAUCCAGCAAUGCCGCGUGUGUGAAGAAGGCCUUCGGGUUGUAAAGCACUUUUGUCCGGAAAGAAAACCUCCGCCCUAAUAUGGUGGGGGGAUGACGGUACCGGAAGAAUAAGCACCGGCUAACUACGUGCCAGCAGCCGCGGUAAUACGUAGGGUGCAAGCGUUAAUCGGAAUUACUGGGCGUAAAGCGUGCGCAGGCGGUCCGCUAAGACAGAUGUGAAAUCCCCGGGCUUAACCUGGGAACUGCAUUUGUGACUGGCGGGCUAGAGUAUGGCAGAGGGGGGUAGAAUUCCACGUGUAGCAGUGAAAUGCGUAGAGAUGUGGAGGAAUACCGAUGGCGAAGGCAGCCCCCUGGGCCAAUACUGACGCUCAUGCACGAAAGCGUGGGGAGCAAACAGGAUUAGAUACCCUGGUAGUCCACGCCCUAAACGAUGUCAACUAGUUGUUGGGGAUUCAUUUCCUUAGUAACGUAGCUAACGCGUGAAGUUGACCGCCUGGGGGAGUACGGUCGCAAGAUUAAAACUCAAAGGAAUUGACGGGGGACCCGCACAAGCGGGUGGAUGAUGUGGAUUAAUUCGAUGCAACGCGAAAAACCUUACCUACCCUUUGACAUGUAUGGGAACCCUUGCUGAAGAGGUGGGGGGUGGCCC
This 952-nucleotide ribosomal RNA is filed under the name Burkholderia sp. O49. RNAcentral's name for it is "bacterial SSU rRNA". It matches the Rfam family "Bacterial small subunit ribosomal RNA", at positions 79 to 1025 of the family's 1533-position model. The record is from RNAcentral. Lineage: Bacteria; Pseudomonadati; Pseudomonadota; Betaproteobacteria; Burkholderiales; Burkholderiaceae.